This 292-nucleotide long non-coding RNA is filed under the name Citrus sinensis (sweet orange). Its description in RNAcentral is "long non-coding RNA (CSIN_LNC001471)". Lineage: Eukaryota; Viridiplantae; Streptophyta; Magnoliopsida; Sapindales; Rutaceae. The record is from RNAcentral.
GGCGACCAAACGAGAUUAUCACUCAUGGAAGAGCAGCUCAAGAACAUCUUACGUGGCUGCGAUGACGAGGACAGUGAGAAGGUGGCUCGCACGAGUUUCUCCAUGGGGUUCACCCACGUUGAUCGAAGGCUGCACCAAAUGUUCUUUGCUGACAGGGACUACGAAGGCGGCGGGGUGACCACCGCCGAUCAGGUUGACCAUACGCCGUCGUUCAAGCCUGAGAUCACAGUUGAGCGUCUCGAAGAUAAGGGGUAUUCAGUUGUGAAUGUCAAGUGCAGAGACCGGGCCAAGC